Long non-coding RNA from Sebastes umbrosus (honeycomb rockfish), 693 nucleotides. RefSeq lists it as uncharacterized. The transcript is spliced from 2 exons. NCBI's taxonomy places the organism in Eukaryota, Metazoa, Chordata, Actinopteri, Perciformes, Sebastidae. The record is from RefSeq and is a predicted model, not a curated record.
GUCUGCAGACAGUUUUUUCUACAUGUUUACAUCAGGUUUUUGCUUGUUGAACAGGUGUAUUGAUAAAGUAUUGGCUUUUCAUUGGCAAAGGUUUUAUUGCACUUAUUUACAGUAAUGAGCGUUCUUCACUUUACCUGGUUUACUUCACUGUCUCUACCGCUGUCUCUCUGCUCUAUUCAAUGACUUCGCUCCGUGUGUGUAUGUGUGUGUGUGUGUGUGUAGGAGACAGGAAGAGACACAGAGAGCAGAAGAGAUGUGUGCUUCAGCGUGAUAAUAAAUUACACCAAAGUGUUAAAAAGUACCGAUGAAAGAACCAAUAACGUCAGAGCUUAUCAAUACCCCGGUCUUUAAUAAUUUAGCACCGGUGCCCGUUUAAUACCGGGUCUUGGUACCCAUCCCCAGCCAAAACUCAAACUUUACAUUGUAAAGAUCGAUCAGGAAAUUCUAGGCAUCUUUGAUCAAUGUACUAAUGACAAAGCACACCUAUUUUCAGUCCCUCUGUCCAAACUUAGACCCCAGUAGGGAUGUCACGAGAACCGAUUCUUCGGUACCAACUCGGUUCCAAAAUUCUAAAAAUGUGACGGUACUCGUUUUCUUCGGUACUGGAGAUGCGAUUCUUCCGGAUCUAAUGGGGGCAGUAAACGAUUACAAGUGUUCUCAUCUGCCGUGAAAUGAAGGAAGAAGAAGAACGCC